CAGGACGUUAGGUGAGCUGAGAAGCGGAGCUGAACCGCAACCUUUCGACCUCAAUCUCCGUGGAGUGUUUCUCUGCCCAUCGCCUGCGAGUCAUUGAACAGUCGAGAAGGACUCCGGCACUGCAUGUCGAGGUUGUAUUUGUAAAUCUGGUGUUUAUCUUGGAGUAUAAAGGAGGCUCUCGGUGAGUAAUAGCAGCACGGGUUGCAGAACGUGGCUUCAUCCUCAGCGGCCAACAGCGCUGCUCUUAAAUCCGCUCCAAAGAAACAAAAUGCACAAAGAGUAUAACGGGUGGACGGUGGAAAGGUCGGAGGGCGAACGAUCAGAAGUCACUGACACUGACGCCUAUCAACGAGCUACAAGAAGCUGGAUCACUUCUCUUUACCGGUUCUGAAGGGAUGUUCCUGUGGUUUACAUCUAUUUCAAAGAACUGCAGAUUUCAGAGCUUCCAUGAGUACAUGUAACCCAUCAUAUGUCCACUGACGCCUCUGUUUUGGGGUUUUGAAAAGGGAGCACGUGUGUGUUUGGCACUGGAUUAAGCGUCCAACUGGAAAUGAAUGAUCAGUAAACCCCCCGGUAGCUAAAGGCAAGUGGACCGCUUCUCGCUCCAUUUUCUUUCCCGUCCCUUCCAUAUCGCUCUUUACGUUGCGCGCCGUGUUCUCAAAUCCCCGUCGGGAUUCAGGGCUUGAUGGUGAUUUUCCAUGACAAGGUAUGAAAACAGCAUGGGGAGGGGUGGUGCAUCACCUGCUCGCCGCUCUUUUGGCCACAUGGAUUAAUGAGAAGCACAUUUCGACAAAGGCUUCCAUUUCCGUGAUGAAAAUUUCAUUUCAGCAGCGUCUCUGUCGACUGGUCACGUAGGCGCCGGCGGUCAACUGUCACUCAGGCCACGCCCCCCGCCCCCCAGGAUCCAGGCUCCUCAGUUAAUGAGUUCAGACGCGACGAGUCCAUCGCUGUUGUCUGCAUCCCUCCCAAAGUCUUCUGAGCCGUAAUCCUCGGUGGAGCAUCAAACAUACCCGACUUCCCAGUUCGGCGGAGCCAGCAUCGGUAGCGGGGGCCGGUUUGGGUGGCGUGACUUCUCAGAGAGGCAGAUUGUCUGGGGCUCGACCAGGGACACAAGCUGCGAAAGGUCUUCAUCUGUCCCACAUUUCCUGUGUCCCUUCUCCAUCUGUGGUCCCAGUGAAACUGCACAGCACCUGCCAAUCACCCGGCGCCCCACAUCGUCCCCUCCUACGCUGUCUGGCAGAUGGAAGCUGGAUUGCGGUGGGCCACGAAGCAGGGGUCGGAUAUCUGAGGAGGACACCAAAGGAACCGGACACGAUCGAACCCAGCACCCCCUCCAGCUCCUCAGAGAAGGUCGUCCAAGAGACGACCACCUGCAGCCCGACGGUCGGGGGUCCCGUCGCCGGCGUUCCGUCCGAGGCCACCUCUCAAAGCCCGGCCCUAAAUCAAACCCCUCUUUGUACCGUGGUGCACCGCCCAGAGCGAGACUCUCUCCUCGAGGGCCAACCUACGUCUUUCUUCCGCUUUUCGAGGCAGGACUUGGCGUCCGUGUCGGUGUGUUAAAUGGGCCACAUGUUCCAGCCAACAACUCAUCCCUCUGUCACAGGGAACGGUACGACACACGAACUCUCAUUCAAAAUUAACCGCGCAAUAAAAGAUUGAUUUCCAAAAAAAUGUUUUUUUAU
This is a long non-coding RNA of Scleropages formosus (Asian bonytongue), 1682 nucleotides long. NCBI's taxonomy places the organism in Eukaryota, Metazoa, Chordata, Actinopteri, Osteoglossiformes, Osteoglossidae. The record is from Ensembl.